Equus caballus (horse) is the source of this 5279-nucleotide long non-coding RNA. NCBI's taxonomy places the organism in Eukaryota, Metazoa, Chordata, Mammalia, Perissodactyla, Equidae. The record is from Ensembl.
UCCUGAUUGGAUAGUCGUUUAUGAAGGGAUUAUUCUAUUCAUCCAUUAGUUCAAAAUAUUUACUGAGUGCUUAGAGUUUGAGAAGGCACUGUGCUGGAAUUUGAGGAUACUAGGAUGUAUAAGAUAGUCCACAUACUUGACUUACAGUUGAGCAGGGACAAGAGCCAAGUAAAACUUUUUAGAGUAUUGUGUACGUGUAUAUACAGUCAUGCAUUGCUUAACGACAGGGAUAUGUUCUGAGAAAUGUGUUGUCAGACGAUCUCACCAUUGUGUGAAAUCAUAGUGUGUACUUACACAAGCCCAAAUGGUAUAACCUGCUACACACCUAGGCUAUUUGGUACUAAUUUUAUGGAACCACCAUUGUAUAUGUGGUCUGUCAUUGACUGAAACAUCAUUAUGCGGUGCAUGAAUGUAUAUAUCUAUACACACAUGUGCAUUAUACAUACAUGUGUAUGUAUAAAGAGAUUUAUUUCUAAGAGUUUCCUCAUGCAGUUAUGGGGGCUGACAAGCCCAAACCUAUGGGGCAGGCCAGCAGGGUUUCUAUAUUGCAGUAUUAAGGCAGAAUUCUUUCUCUAGGAAAUCUCAGGUUUUGCUCUUAAGGCUUUCAACUGAUUGAAUGAGGCCCACCUGCAUUACUGAGGAUCAUCUUCUUAAAGUCAACUGGUGGUGACCCUUUGUAAACAAAACAUGAUGACAUUAUGUUGACAAAGAAAACUAACCAUCACAAGAGGGUGACACAGGGAGACAAUGAGGGGCCCUUCUACUUUAUAUGUGGGAGACCACCACAGCGUGACUUGAUAAGCGGUAUGUAGGUCUGCAACCAGGAUCCAAACCCGCGAACCGUGGGCCAGUGAAGUGGAGUGCACGAACUUAACCAUUAUACCACCAGGCUGGCUCCCACAUUUAAUAUUUUUGAUGCAUUUGUUAUCUCCCUUUCUCCAUAGUAGCUUUGGCCAUGAAAGAACAAAAUAAUCUGGAUGCAUCCAAAAGGGGGAAAAGAAAUCAAAUAGCAUUUUAUAAUGUCCUUAGCUCGGCUUUAUUGAGGCAAGAAAUUCUCUGUGUGCCAAGGGGCAUCCAUAAUUUACGGUAUGAAGAGCUUUUUUUCUGCACAAGAUAACUCUCAGGAACAGAACAACCUCUCAGGUCACUUUGACCUGGCUCUCAGCUGUCUCAACUGCGUCUCAGACAGGAAAACACCCAGCUCAAUGCUUAAUUUUAUUUCAACACUACCGCUUUUUAGUACAGUGAUUUUUUUUUUUUAAAAGUCGUUUGAAAAUUGUAAGAAAAUUUUACUAAUCGAUAGGGCUUUAGGAAUAGCUCAUAUUGGGAGAACUUCCUACGUCCACGGAAAGAGCCUAGGAAAUGUUACAUCGCAGAAAGAAAUCUAGACUCUCUUUGGUCUGUGUCAGUGAGCACUGAGUACUGAUGCAGACAGUCUAUAUAUGUUCUUUUCAAGUGAGUCUAAAUCCCAAACCCAUCAUAUGAUAUAGAUGCUCAUUAAAUGUGUGUUAAACAUGGCCGGGGAUUAGUGGUCCCUGAUUGUCCUUUCCCAGCUUCAUGUAAAAAUACCCACAGAAACUGAAAUAGUACUAGAAACUAAAGAUAAACGGAAACUCUGCCAAAAUCCACUCGGAAUUUAUGCUAACUCCAGAGUCAAUCACUGAAUACAUUGACCCAAAUUAACUGCAGAGUAGGUAGGGAAAAGCCAUAACUCAGACACUGCCUCUAACUCGGGUCAAAGGAGCUGCACUGCCUGGAAAAUCAAGCCCUUAUUGCCCAGCCACCAUCUGAGCUAGCUAGAGUUGAGGUCUGUGCCCACCCCUCAGCAUCCCUCAGCUCCUUGCUUUUGCCUGCAUUUUAGAGACGAUCGAUUUCAACUUUUGGCACCACUGCAGAUUCAGGAGGGAGGGGACGUUGCAGCCUUGGAUAUUCAGUCACCACGAAGAAAACCUUGUAGAAGGGCGGAGAGUGGAGGAUCCCUGGAUUGUAGCAAAUGCUGGGGAGUGUACAACAGUUGAACAAAGAACAUUUGUCUGGCUCCAGCAAAGCCAGAUGAUCUAAGAAUUGGAGCAGAAGAUGCUCAUGCCUCAGCCCAGCAGCCAGAUAGUGACACAAGGUCCUUAUGAGGCCACCUCACUCCAGGUAUAGAUCCGAAAGGAACUGAGCUCCCUUGUGAGCAGGGAGGAGGCCCAAGGGCACAUGAAACCCCCUGGUGGGGUUAAGAGCUUGGGUAAUGGAGGCAGAAGACCUGGCUUUAAAUCCUGGCUCUACUGCUGACCAGCUGUGGGGUCUGGGGCAGAUUAUCCAGUCAUUUUGGCUUUUGAUUUCCUCACAUUUAACAUGGGAGUGAUAUCUACCUCAGAGUUUGCAGAACGUAGGCAAGCUAAUGUCUGUGAAGUACUUCGCACUCACUUGUACAAAGAAGUAUGUAAAUAAUCUUUCAUUUUUAUUAGUUGUAAAGAAAGGAUAAGUUGAGAUAAACAGGAGGAAUGAAAGGGGAUCAUCCUGAAAUAUACAAAAAAUAAAAGGAAACCCAAAUGCAAAUUCCCGUGGGCGUACAAAUCAGCAUAACUGACACUACGGAAAAUUUCAGGGUCAUAUGGGCACUCUCCAAAAAUCUAGAGAAGAGGGAUGAGAAAAAAAUAAGAUAGAGCAGACAAAAAAGAAAUGAGAAUGCGACCUUUGAAUUAUGGGUUUUCCCCUAAAAAACAAAAAAAAUGAAAGAAGUAAUAAUUAAAGAAAACUUUCCUGAACUAACCAAAAGAGCUAAGUUUAUUUACUGAUAGUUUUUAUUAUGUGUAUGCAAAAUUAAUGAAAACUACUAGUAAUAAGACAUAGCCUUUAAAAUUUUACAUAAUUAGAUAUUGGCAGGGAGCAUACAGAAGAAUCAUUAUUUACAAUUAUGUUAUUCAAAACCUGAGAAUGCAAGAGAACAAAUGGAAAAACUAUUAAUGAGUUUGGAAAGGUAGCCAAUUGCAUAAUAAACAUACAAAAAUUAAUAUAAGCCAGUUGAUCGAUUAGAAAAUAUAAUGGAAAAAGCUGUUGUUCACAGUACUAUUACUAAUUUAAAAUGCAGUGAAAUAAAAGUGACCAAAUUUACAAGAAAUGUACAAGACCCUUAAAAAGAAAACUGUAAAACUCUCCAGGGGACACAGAGGAAUAUUCAGAGAAAGAAUUCUUGGUCAGAUUCAUGUAAAGAUUUUCCCUUCAAACUCUAGAAAUUCAAAGUAAUUCAUAACAAAAUCUCAGUGGGACUAUUUAGGAACCUUUAAAAAUGUUUCCAAAGUUUUUUUGUGUGAAAAAGGGGCAAAUAACCAGAAAAAUUCAGGAAAACAAAUGAGCUGGAACGAGUCCCAGCAGAUAUGAAAAUCUUUCCCGAGUUAGAGUUGCUGAAGUGGAGUCACACUAGUCCGAAAGUGACUAGAUCAGUGGAACCAAAUAGAGUCUAGAAAGACUUCUCACUCUGUGUGUGAUAAAAAUGGCUUUUCAGUGAGGAAAAAGGCUAUUCAAUAAGAGAACUGGCUACCCAUUUGGGAAAAAGAAAUAAAACUAGAAUCUGACUUCACAUAUAAAAACAGAAGACUUUUAGAUGGUUCAAAAAUUUAAAUAUAAAAAAUCAUAUAAAACACAGACAUGGUAGAAUAGUUUUUAUAAUCUUGAGAGGUGAAAAGCCUCUUAGACCAUUAAUCAAAAGCCCGAACUAUAAAAGAAAGAGCAAAGUAGGCAAAGUAGAAAAAGAUCUCCAAUAAUAAAGAUUAAUGAUCUUAAAAAAAAAAGAAUUCUUCAAAUUAAUUAGUAAAUGAUGAACGCCUCACAAGAGAAAUGGACAUGAGUAGAUAAUCCAUAAAAGAAUAGAUACAUACAGCCAGCAAACUUUUGGAAAGAGUUAUUCAACCUCACUAGUAAUACAAGAAAGGGACACCCAUGGACUAUUGAAGGGAAUACAAAAUUGUUUCUGUUCUGGAGAGCAGAUAGGCAAUGUCUAUAAGUUUAAAAUGGGGAUCCCCCUUGACCCAUUAACUUCACUACAGGAAUUUAUUCUAAAGAGAUAGACAUGUCUGUAGACAUGUGUCAAGAUUGUUUUCACUGCAGCGUUGCUUAUCAUCCUACAGCAUUGGAAGCAACCUGACUGUCCAUCAGUUGAGUGAUUAACAAGCUAAUUCAUUCCUACAAGGUAAUACAAGGUAGCUACUAUAAUGAUCAUGUAUAUCCAUAGUUACUAACAUGGGAAGAUGUUCAAGGCACAGUAUUAAGAAUAUAAAUUUAAAGAACAGAUAUAGAAUAUGUAUAAUGUAAUUCCACUUCUAUAUAAUUGUCUGUGUUUACUUAUGCAUUUCAAGAGAUACCUGGUAGAUAUUUAUCAAAUUUUUUUGUCUUAGUGGUGGGGUUAGGUUCCCAGCAUUUUCAAAUAUUUUUUUAACGAAAAGUCAUUUCUGAAAAAUCAAUGGCUAAAUUCCAUUUAAGAUAAAUGCUUUCUUAAAUAAUAAAUAGUAGGAUCUAAAGAGUUUAAUAUCAAAAAGCAAAAUGACUGACAAUUAAAUUUCUGAGUACAUGUAUAUCUUACUUUGAAUAUUCUGUAGUUAUAUGUCUGCACAUUCAGAAACAUUCAGAAUUCACUUCUUGCCAGUGCUGAUAAUUUAUGAUUUAUUCUUAUGACAUGCUCUGUAAAAAAUUAUAGUGUGUUUGUAUUAAAUUUGCACUAAGUGGAUCAUAACUGUUUAUUUUAUUCUUUUUUUUAAAAAAAAUAAUAAAUUGUCCUUAGAAAAUAUUCCAUUUCGUUUUAAAAAUAUAAAGCAUUCUUCAGGUGGUGUGAACAAUCUGAUCCUGGGAAAACUUUGUGUUUGCAUCCCUCGUAAUGAACCCUCAGAUUUAACUCAUGGUUAAUAAAAAACCCAAGAGGAACUUGGGCUUAUCAGUUUGUUUUGGAUGUUUAUUUUGAUUGCAGCAUCACAUCUGAAAUCCAAUUGUGAGCAUCACUUCUAAUCAAGGCACUUUUAGUAGGUGUGACAAAUGCAUUUUAACAAAAUCGUACCCAUGUAUUAUUUGGUGAAAUAUUAUUUUGCUUAGGAAUUAACACCGUAAUUCUGCUUCACAGAUUAUCCAUGUAAUUUGCGUUUUUACACGUCUUGCAGUUUCCUUCAUCCUAGAGUAGUUUUAAGUUUAUUAGCUGGUUAUUAGUUUUGUUUAUAGACCUAUUGCUAUAGCUUCUAAGUGUUUCUCAGGUUAUGUUCCCUUUUAUGUCUAUCAAAUGAUGUUUCCACAUAAAUGAAAACUCGUAA